AUUGAACGCUGGCGGCAUGCUUUACACAUGCAAGUCGAACGGUAACAGGCCGCAAGGUGCUGACGAGUGGCGAACGGGUGAGUAAUGCAUCGGAACGUGCCCAGUCGUGGGGGAUAACUACUCGAAAGAGUAGCUAAUACCGCAUACGAUCUAUGGAUGAAAGCGGGGGACCGUAAGGCCUCGCGCGAUCGGAGCGGCCGAUGUCAGAUUAGGUAGUUGGUGGGGUAAAGGCUCACCAAGCCAACGAUCUGUAGCUGGUCUGAGAGGACGACCAGCCACACUGGGACUGAGACACGGCCCAGACUCCUACGGGAGGCAGCAGUGGGGAAUUUUGGACAAUGGGCGCAAGCCUGAUCCAGCAAUGCCGCGUGCAGGAAGAAGGCCUUCGGGUUGUAAACUGCUUUUGUACGGAACGAAACGGCUCUGGUUAAUACCCGGGGCUAAUGACGGUACCGUAAGAAUAAGCACCGGCUAACUACGUG
RNAcentral lists this ribosomal RNA (482 nucleotides) under uncultured bacterium. Its description in RNAcentral is "partial 16S ribosomal RNA". It matches the Rfam family "Bacterial small subunit ribosomal RNA", at positions 30 to 507 of the family's 1533-position model. The record is from RNAcentral.